UCUAGUGGCCAAAUGCUGUUUUUAGUUUCGUUUUUAAGGGUGCGUAGUUAGUGAGUUUCUAUAGUGCAGUCUCAUGUUUAUUUUAUAGAAACAGGCGGAGACAUACAUUUAAUGCGGUAUAUCAUUUAUAUAAAAUGAAACCACAUGACAGUUUUGCAGACCAACCUGCUUCUAUGCACACUAAAGCCAAAUCUAGCAGACGAUGCUAAUGCUAAUGCGUUAUAAACAACAGCGAGGGUUACAGUGUCCCCGCGUUAAUGUUGUAGCGGGAAUCCUGCUUUGUAUUUGACUUGAAAUAACGUUUUAUUCAUUUUUCUUAGAAAUGAACGCGUUAUUCCUCGUUUUGUCUUCCUGUGUGUUGCUGAGGAGAGGUGUGCAAAGUGUGGUUUUCACCUGCUGCCGAAAUGUCCCUCCGAGACAUUUUUGCAGACCAGAACAUGAAAGAGACUUUAUCAUAUCCGUCAUGUGAGCUGUUUUGACCAGUGAACAAACAUCCACUCAAAGCACACUGAUGCAUAGGAGGAGUUACUUCUGGAUCUGGAGCAGACAUCUUUAGCGGUCAACAUAUCUGAUCCUGAACCUAAGAUGCAGAAGAUCCCGAGAGCAGCUACGAUCAACAGAGAUCCAGCAGAAACAGAGAUCAACACAAUCAGAGAGACUGAGUCUAGAGGAACUGAAGGAGAGAGAAAGAGUCAUUAAUGAGAGAGUCACAUGACCCACGUUCACCACCGAACACAACAAUGAACAAUUCUGCUGUGAUGAAGAUGAUGAAGAUGAUGAAGAACAGUUUGAAGAAUGCAGAAGAUCCCGAGAGCAGCUACGAUCAACAGAGAUCCAGCAGAGACAGAGAUCAACACAAUCAGAGAGACUGAGUCUGGAGGAACUGAAGGAGAGAGAAAGAGAGACAAUAAAACGUGAUUAAUGUGUGAU
Molecule: long non-coding RNA, 930 nt
Organism: Puntigrus tetrazona (Sumatra barb)
Lineage: Eukaryota; Metazoa; Chordata; Actinopteri; Cypriniformes; Cyprinidae
Exons: 5
Source: RefSeq, a predicted model, not a curated record